CCUACGGGUGGCAGCAGUGAGGAAUAUUGGUCAAUGGGCGCGAGCCUGAACCAGCCAAGUCGCGUGAGGGAGGACGGCCCUACGGGUUGUAAACCUCUUUUGCCGGGGAGCAACGGGCGCCACGUGUGGGGUCACGGAGAGGACCCGGAGAAAAAGCAGCGGCUAACUCCGUGCCAGCAGCCGCGGUACUACGGAGGAUGCGAGCGUUAUCCGGAUUGAUUGGGUUGAAAGGGUGCGUACGCGGAUCGUUAAGUCAGUGGUCAAAUUGAGGGGCUCAACCCCUUCCCGCCAUUGAAACUGGCGUUCUUGAGUGGACGAGAAGUAUGCGGAAUGCGUGGUGUAGCGGUGAAAUGCAUAGAUAUCACGCAGAACCCCGAUUGCGAAGGCAGCAUGCCGGCUUCCGACUGACGCUGACGCACGAACGCGUGGGGAUCGAACAGGAUUAGAUACCCCAGUAGUC
This 460-nucleotide ribosomal RNA is filed under the name uncultured bacterium. RNAcentral's name for it is "partial 16S ribosomal RNA". It matches the Rfam family "Bacterial small subunit ribosomal RNA", at positions 338 to 795 of the family's 1533-position model. The record is from RNAcentral.